This 107-nucleotide small nuclear RNA is filed under the name Propithecus coquereli (Coquerel's sifaka). The record is from RNAcentral. Lineage: Eukaryota; Metazoa; Chordata; Mammalia; Primates; Indriidae.
GUGCUCGCUUUGGCAGCACACAUACUAAAAUUGGAAGGAUAUAGAGAAGAUUAGCAUGGCCCCAGCGCAAGGAUGGCACGCAAAUUUGUGAAGGGUUCCAUAUAUUU